AACGAACGCUGGCGGCAUGCCUAACACAUGCAAGUCGAACGAGACCUUCGGGUCUAGUGGCGCACGGGUGCGUAACGCGUGGGAACCUGCCCUUAGGUUCGGAAUAACUCCCCGAAAGGGGUGCUAAUACCGGAUAAUGUCUUCGGACCAAAGAUUUAUCGCCUUUGGAUGGGCCCGCGUUGGAUUAGCUAGUUGGUAGGGUAAAAGCCUACCACGGCGACGAUACGUAACUGGUCAGAGAGGCUGAUCAGCGACACUGGGACUGGGACACGGCCCGGACUCCUACGGGAGGCAGCAGUGGGGAAUAUUGGACAAUCGGCGAUAGCCUGAUCCAGCAAUGCCGCGUGAGUGAUGAAGGCCUUAGGGUUGUAAAGCUCUUUUACCCGGGAUGAUAAUGACAGUACCGGGAGAAUAAGCUCCGGCUAACUCCGUG
RNAcentral lists this ribosomal RNA (433 nucleotides) under uncultured bacterium. Its description in RNAcentral is "partial 16S ribosomal RNA". It matches the Rfam family "Bacterial small subunit ribosomal RNA", at positions 29 to 507 of the family's 1533-position model. The record is from RNAcentral.